This 69-nucleotide transfer RNA is filed under the name Cryptolithodes sitchensis. Its description in RNAcentral is "tRNA-Trp". The record is from RNAcentral. Lineage: Eukaryota; Metazoa; Arthropoda; Malacostraca; Decapoda; Lithodidae.
GAGAUUUUAAGNUUAUAWAAACUAGUAGCCUUCAAAGCCACAAAAAUAAGUAAAUUCUUCUAAAUCUUG